Molecule: long non-coding RNA, 1329 nt
Organism: Myxocyprinus asiaticus (Chinese sucker)
Lineage: Eukaryota; Metazoa; Chordata; Actinopteri; Cypriniformes; Catostomidae
Exons: 3
Source: RefSeq, a predicted model, not a curated record
GGUUGGGUGGUGGAGAUAUGACAUCAUGUGUUGCUAUAGUCCUGCUGCAGGAUGGUAGGGAAGGGUAAACCAUACGCUAUGCUGCUCUGCAAUAGGAAGCUUUGGCAGGAGGAGAGGAAAUUUUGAUCUGCUGGGUCGUAAAUUGUGUGUGCUGGAGGUUCUAGCUGAUGCUACAGAGUUUUUCUCCUUCCCCUGGACUCCCUCUUUACCUCUGGCCCUCAAACUGCUCUCUGGUUCCUCAGCAGCUCCCACUUGCCCAUUAAAUACUGGAGGAAGAGAGCAUAGAGCACAGAACUAAUGGCUGAUGGAGAGUCAGAGAGAGAGAGAGAGAGAGAGAGAGGCUAAAAGAGGCACAACAGAAGGAGGCAUGGCCGGGUCAAAGGGGGGAAAUGAUCAAGGAAAAACCACUGCCCCGGACCGACGGUGAAACGACCAGAUUUGCCUUCUCCCCCACCCCAAGAUCACAGUGCACCCAUCCCCCAUCCCCUUCCAAAGUUUGCAUCCUAGUACCAGCCCUGGAAUGUAAUGUUAUGAAUUAUGUUUUCAAUAUACAUGAAUAGGAAUGUGCAAAAGUACAUAUUUUCAAAAUCAAAGUCGUUGGGUUGCCUACAUGACAAGUUGAGUAACUGAUCUUAAGGAAGCCCUGUAUAAUUAGGCUGGUUUUGGGUUCACCUGACCAAAACAAGCUUGCAUAGCUAGAAGCGUCUGCGUAGAGUAUGUUUCGGCCUUUAGGGGCACUUAUAUAAGACUUGCUCUUGCAUUCAAAAACAGCUAGACAGAAUACAAUAAAAUGCAACAGAAUGCAGGAGUCUCGAGAUGCACUUUUAAAAGUUGGACUACUUUUAGCUUGACACAACAUCUGAAAAAUUCAAUGGACUGGAACGUUACAAAAACAGCACAAGAAAUGCAGUGGCCAAAGACGUCCACCUGAAUGUGAAUAGCUGUAGUGGCAGUGGUUUAAAUGGGAUGAAUUUAAAGCCACAACUUUUCAGAGAGGGUUUUACCAUGCAAACUGUCUAAAUUAAAAAAAUUAUCUAAAAACUCACUAAUCGACUAAUUGAUUGUUGGACAUCUAGUCGACAACCAAGCCCUAUGCCUCCACCUGACUUAAAUGCCUGCAUCUGACUUAAAGAAAAUUUACAGGUUCAUGAUUUUAUUUUGGGGGUCUACUAGAAUAGGUUUACAUGCUUUAAUGUUCAAAAAACACAUUAUUUUUCUCAUACUGUACAUUUCUGCUAAACCUAUUUUCAUCCUCUGGCUCAAACGCUCUGAUUUAGGUCCUGUCUCUUUAAAGCCCCCUUUUCCGAAAAGCCCAGUCUGCUCUGAUUG